RNAcentral lists this ribosomal RNA (495 nucleotides) under uncultured bacterium. RNAcentral describes it as "partial 16S ribosomal RNA". It matches the Rfam family "Bacterial small subunit ribosomal RNA", at positions 28 to 507 of the family's 1533-position model. The record is from RNAcentral.
GAUGAACGCUGGCGGCGUGCCUAAUACAUGCAAGUCGAGCGAACAGACGAGGAGCUUGCUCCUCUGACGUUAGCGGCGGACGGGUGAGUAACACGUGGAUAACCUACCUAUAAGACUGGGAUAACUUCGGGAAACCGGAGCUAAUACCGGAUAAUAUAUUGAACCGCAUGGUUCAAUAGUGAAAGACGGUUUUGCUGUCACUUAUAGAUGGAUCCGCGCCGCAUUAGCUAGUUGGUAAGGUAACGGCUUACCAAGGCGACGAUGCGUAGCCGACCUGAGAGGGUGAUCGGCCACACUGGAACUGAGACACGGUCCACUCCUACGGGAGGCAGCAGUAGGGAAUCUUCCGCAAUGGGCGAAAGCCUGACGGAGCAACGCCGCGUGAGUGAUGAAGGUCUUCGGAUCGUAAAACUCUGUUAUUAGGGAAGAACAAAUGUGUAAGUAACUAUGCACGUCUUGACGGUACCUAAUCAGAAAGCCACGGCUAACUACGUG